CGGGAGGCGCGCACUGGCCGGCCGGGCGGUGACGUGAAUCGCCUCGGAGGCCGGCGACUGGCUGAGAGACGUGUGGUAGCGGGUGCCGCAUGCCGUCGCCGGAUGAUUUAAAGUGGAAUGUCACACGGGGGCAGAUAAGCCGUCUCACACACACACACAGGCGGGCAAGGACAUCUGUGUGCUAAAAAGAUCUCCAGAAUACGCGGCUCAGUGAUGCUGUUUAAACAUCACGAGAUUAUACGCAGAACAAGCUCGAUGCAACACACCUUGAUGCUGCAGCUCUAAGCUCACGCUACCCGUCUCACAACCUGCGGAUCUACAAGCGUCACCCGGAUGAUCUUCCCCUGAUCGGCGCCAGUGUGCGUUACGGCACGAGGAGACGACGACGAUCACCGAGACAAAAAUUCAGUCAGACACAAGACACCCAGCCAGACCCUGAUAAAAUAUAUACUGUUUCCCUUUUCAACAUUUCUUAAAUUGAAGUUAUUCUCUCUGUCGAUACGAUAUGCCGCGUUAAACUGUUAUUAGAAGAGGACAACGAUAAUAUCAGCGUUCGCAUCUACAAAGUGUGAAAUAUAAAUAUAUAUACUUCAAUAAAUACGUAUGACCUUUAA
Molecule: long non-coding RNA, 614 nt
Organism: Clarias gariepinus (North African catfish)
Lineage: Eukaryota; Metazoa; Chordata; Actinopteri; Siluriformes; Clariidae
Exons: 2
Source: RefSeq, a predicted model, not a curated record